This is a long non-coding RNA of Bactrocera oleae (olive fruit fly), 1980 nucleotides long. RefSeq lists it as uncharacterized. The record is from RefSeq and is a predicted model, not a curated record. Lineage: Eukaryota; Metazoa; Arthropoda; Insecta; Diptera; Tephritidae.
UACAUAUUUACCUAGGCGGUAGCUAGGAGUUACGCUGGUGUUGAUUUGCACAUUUAUUAAAAUUAUUAAAUGUAUUGUAUUUCGUUGAGACUUAAUUUUUUUCGAUUUUAUUCCAAGGGAGUCAACGGUUAAAUGUCUAUAAGUUUAUAAUAAUAAUAAACUUUUUCAUAAAGGAAAGCUAACCAGGAAAGUUGUAGAUACAAGUUAGGUUAGGAUUGAGAUAGACUACAUUGGGUUUGACGAUCAAACAUUAGAGGGUAGGUAACACGAAUACAAGAAUAAAUUAAUGCUGUUAAGGUCAAGUAGCUCAAGUAGUUUACGAAAUACUAAUGCAUCAGGGCCAAAUACGGGAUUAUAAACAAAAAAAAAAAAAAAAACAAUUAUGCCAAAUGCCAAAUUUUAAAUACCAAAUACCGAUACUGGAUUGAAAAAAAUGUAAUCCUAACAACACUUAGGAUUUGGUUCUAAAGUUAUACCUGUCAACAAUAUAUAAAUAUAGCGUGCAGCGUCAUUGCUAAUGCAGUUACUGAUGGUCUUUAAACGGUUGAAAAUCCCGGGCCCACGCGUCUGAUUUGUUUGUGCUUAUCUCGCGCGCUUACGAUUUGGUAACAAACAGCGUAACGAUGCCUUGUCGCUUUACAAAUAAUUUGUGGUUUCAAUUAUAUAUCCAGAAAUGUUAACUUUCACAGUUAUGGUUUACACCCACAAAAUUCUAUAUAAAAUUGCACUCACCGUUCGCAUUAUCCUGCACCAUUGUGGCAGCACGUGACAGUACAUCCAAUGCAGUUUCCAUGAUGAGAAGCGCCUUUUCUUUCAAUAUCAGCUACUUUUGACGAUAGCAACAAAACGGCGUUCAAUGUCAACUUUGGGAAAUUCUUAUACACUGUUUGCACUUUAACAAUUUUUUUAAACAAUUUUCACAAUUUCUUCUAACUAUGUUCACAUGCCAACAACAAUUUUGUUUUGUUAUUCAAAUAGGCUACACUUCAUAAAACACACACACGAACACUAUAGAGACACUGUAAAAUUUUACAAAAUAUAAAUAAAUAUGCAAAAAUUUAUACAAAAAUAUUUAAAAAGUUUGCGCAAUUUUCGAGUUUCACUUUUAAUUGCUUUGUAUUUGAAUGUGCGACUCUGCAAGGGCGCACACACACAACGACUACACGCGAAGCGAAGCAAAAAGAUCACGAAAUUGCAACAAAUUCAAUACGCUUGCCAAACGCAACUGACAAGCGCUAAAGAUGCGCGUGUGCGUAACCAAAGGCAAUACGAAGAAAAUAAGCGCGCACUAACAGACACGCACGCACACUGGCGCGCGUAAAUAAUUUAAACGCAAAGUGUACAAAAGUCCAAGAUAGCCGUGACUGCUGCGCCAACAGCGACGACGUGUUGUCUGCGCAACCAAGCGCGUUGAAAAUAAAUGUGCCCCUACAAACACCCACACAUAUAUGGCAUAUAUUUAUGGUAAAUAUGUGUAAUAAGUAUAAAUGCGCGUACGAAAUCAACAAAGUUAUUGGCAACGAGAAUGGCGACAACAACAAUAACAACAUUGACAGCCACAGCUGUGCGAAAAUUCGCAAGGUGGUUUCUCGCUUCACGGCGCGCGGGUGGUGUACCCUCACACACACACGCACAAAGAAAUAUGCUUUAUAAAAUUAAAAUCAAUGAGAAAUGAAAAAUCUUAAGCAAGAACAAAACACUGUGACAUUUAUUUCGCAAAGUAACGGUUAUGGUUAUGUUUCGAGAGAUGAGUUUGAGUGCAAAAAUGCUGAAAGGGUUGUAGGCGACGUUGGUGAUAAUGUUGCCAACAGCUGAAAAAGAAGAAAUGGAAAAUUAACGAUAAUUUAUUGAAAUAUGUGCUUUUUAAACUUAUUGUUAUUGUUAUUAUGUAUGUAUUUGUAGACAAAUAUUUGUCAGCGUGUCAAUGGUUGUUUCGAAUAAAUUAAAUCUUAAAAAUAAUUAUUUUUUAAUACUGUUUUA